Molecule: non-coding RNA, 555 nt
Organism: Procambarus clarkii (red swamp crayfish)
Lineage: Eukaryota; Metazoa; Arthropoda; Malacostraca; Decapoda; Cambaridae
Source: RefSeq, a predicted model, not a curated record
GAUAUGCACUUCAUGUAUGCUUCUUAAUGUGGAUGCCCCUUUUCAGAACGGGUACUGGUCGUGGAUGGCCCCUCGCAGGAUGAUUGAUCAUGGACACCCCACUCACAGGACGGUUGGCUGGGGAUGCUUCCUCGCAUAAGAUGUAAGCUGGUGCCGAGGGUCAACAGCCAAUGGGGGGGUGUUGCUUUUGUCCAGAAUUGGUAACACGAGGCAGAGAGGCGGCAGCCAUCGCUAAAGUCCCUCUUUGAAAACUAAAGUUUUGUCAACCGGAACUUUGCAACUUUCGACUGUGGUUCGGUGCAGUGGUGAAGGAUGGCCAGCGGUGCACAAGGUGACCACCAUUCCCUGCCAAGGCGGACAUUUCUGCCUUGGUCACUAAUGGGAGUAACGGUUUGGCAGUGACCUGAUGUACAAGAAGCAUUUCAUUUCAGAUCAUAGACUAUUAUUGAUGGCCAGGCCAGGUUCUGUGACUGGCCUGGGUGUUAUGAUAUCGCCACUGCGGCCGAAGUCGUUGACUUUACAUUGAAUGGUUUACCAAAAACUGUCAGGACUGAA